This 372-nucleotide ribosomal RNA is filed under the name uncultured bacterium. RNAcentral describes it as "bacterial SSU rRNA". It matches the Rfam family "Bacterial small subunit ribosomal RNA", at positions 524 to 898 of the family's 1533-position model. The record is from RNAcentral.
UACGGAGGAUGCGAGCGUUAUCCGGAUUCAUUGGGUUUAAAGGGUACGUAGGUGGCCUUAUAAGUCAGUGGUGAAAACCUGUCGCUUAACGAUAGGCGUGCCAUUGAUACUGUUUGGCUUGAGUACAGUUGAGGUAGGUGGAAUGUGUAGUGUAGCGGUGAAAUGCAUAGAUAUUACACAGAACUCCGAUUGCGAAGGCAUCUUACUAAGCUGAGACUGACACUGAUGUACGAAAGCGUGGGGAUCGAACAGGAUUAGAUACCCUGGUAGUCCACGCCGUAAACGAUGCUCACUGGCUGUAUGCGAUAUAUUGUAUGUGGCCAAGCGAAAGCGCUAAGUGAGCCACCUGGGGAGUACGCCGGCAACGGUGAA